This 497-nucleotide ribosomal RNA is filed under the name uncultured bacterium. RNAcentral's name for it is "partial 16S ribosomal RNA". It matches the Rfam family "Bacterial small subunit ribosomal RNA", at positions 28 to 507 of the family's 1533-position model. The record is from RNAcentral.
GAUGAACGCUGGCGGCGUGCCUAAUACAUGCAAGUCGAGCGAACGGACGAGAAGCUUGCUCCUCUGACGUUAGCGGCGGACGGGUGAGUAACACGUGGAUAACCUACCUAUAAGACUGGGAUAACUUCGGGAAACCGGAGCUAAUACCGGAUAAUAUUUUGAACCGCAUGGUUCAAUAGUGAAAGACGGUUUUGCUGUCACUUAUAGAUGGAUCCGCGCCGCAUUAGCUAGUUGGUAAGGUAACGGCUUACCAAGGCAACGAUGCUUAGCCGACCUGAGAGGGUGAUCGGCCACACUGGAACUGAGACACGGUCCAGACUCCUACGGGAGGCAGCAGUAGGGAAUCUUCCGCAAUGGGCGAAAGCUUGACGGAGCAACGCCGCGUGAGUGAUGAAGGUCUUCGGAUCGUAAAACUCUGUUAUUAGGGAAGAACAUAUGUGUAAGUAACUGUGCACAUCUUGACGGUACCUAAUCAGAAAGCCACGGCUAACUACGUG